Molecule: ribosomal RNA, 254 nt
Filed under: uncultured bacterium
Lineage: Bacteria
Description: partial 16S ribosomal RNA
Rfam family: Bacterial small subunit ribosomal RNA
Source: RNAcentral
CACGUAGGGAGCAAGCGUUGUCCGGAUUUAUUGGGCGUAAAGAGCUCGUAGGUGGUUCGGUAAGUCAGGUGUGAAACCUCCAGGCUCAACCUGGAGACGCCACUUGAUACUGCUGUGACUGGAGUCCGGUAGGGGAGCGUGGAAUUCCUGGUGUAGCGGUGAAAUGCGCAGAUAUCAGGAGGAACACCGAUGGCGAAGGCAGCUCGCUGGGACGGUACUGACGCUGAGGCGCGAAAGCGUGGGGAGCAAACAGG